Molecule: unclassified non-coding RNA, 552 nt
Filed under: Athalia rosae (coleseed sawfly)
Lineage: Eukaryota; Metazoa; Arthropoda; Insecta; Hymenoptera; Athaliidae
Description: misc RNA ENSAEAG00005011677.1
Source: RNAcentral
CGUGAAGCAGAAAAAAAUGAAGCAAAAUGUAAAAAUUUUUUACUUACAACCGUUAGAACCGUUAUUUUGUUGUAAAUAUAAGACGUAGAUAGAAAUAUAGCGGAAUUACUUUCUUCACUUACUUUUGGCGGUUUUCUUUGAAUUUGGUUCGGGCUUGCAUCUCUUUGAACGACGACGCGUCUUUUCGCAAGCACGGUCGCUCUCGGGUUUCAAAUUGUCUAUCCGGUUCAUCAGUUGGUUAACGCAUUCGCUCCAGGAGCCCUUCUCGUAACGACACUCUGUGCUCAGCGCCACGCCUUUUUUGCAUCUCUUUUCGAUCGUCUUAGUCUGCUCGCAGGUCUUAGCGUCUCCUUUUUUCAAGCUAAGGGUCCGGGUUCUUGUAUUCGUCUUUACAUCACAAGCUGACCAAUCACCUUUUGAGUACCUGCAGGAUACUGUGCCAGCAGACACUGGUGGUCAAGAACAAUAUAUAUGUAUACUGCGCGUAUAAGACACCCAACUUGGGACAUCCAAUUCAACCAAUAUUUGAGACCAAUUGAAGAAAAAAUAAAA